CCUACGGGGUGCAGCAGUGGGGAAUAUUGGACAAUGGGCGAAAGCCUGAUCCAGCCAUGCCGCGUGUGUGAAGAAGGCCUUCGGGUUGUAAAGCACUUUCAGUGGGGAAGAAAGCCUUGGGGCUAAUACCCUCGAGGAAGGACAUCACCCACAGAAGAAGCACCGGCUAAUUCCGUGCCAGCAGCCGCGGUAAUACGGAGGGUGCGAGCGUUAAUCGGAAUUACUGGGCGUAAAGCGCGCGUAGGCGGUCUGAUAAGCCGGUUGUGAAAGCCCCGGGCUCAACCUGGGAACGGCAUCCGGAACUGUCAGGCUAGAGUGCAGGAGAGGAAGGUAGAAUUCCCGGUGUAGCGGUGAAAUGCGUAGAGAUCGGGAGGAAUACCAGUGGCGAAGGCGGCCUUCUGGACUGACACUGACGCUGAGGUGCGAAAGCGUGGGUAGCAAACAGGAUUAGAUACCCUAGUAGUC
RNAcentral lists this ribosomal RNA (465 nucleotides) under Vreelandella stevensii. RNAcentral's name for it is "partial 16S ribosomal RNA". It matches the Rfam family "Bacterial small subunit ribosomal RNA", at positions 338 to 795 of the family's 1533-position model. Lineage: Bacteria; Pseudomonadati; Pseudomonadota; Gammaproteobacteria; Oceanospirillales; Halomonadaceae. The record is from RNAcentral.